This 468-nucleotide ribosomal RNA is filed under the name uncultured bacterium. RNAcentral's name for it is "partial 16S ribosomal RNA". It matches the Rfam family "Bacterial small subunit ribosomal RNA", at positions 28 to 507 of the family's 1533-position model. The record is from RNAcentral.
GACGAACGCUGGCGGCGUGCUUAACACAUGCAAGUCGAACGGAAAGGCCCUGCUUUUGUGGGGUGCUCGAGUGGCGAACGGGUGAGUAACACGUGAGUAACCUGCCCUUGACUUUGGGAUAACUUCAGGAAACUGGGGCUAAUACCGGAUAGGAGCUCCUGCUGCAUGGUGGGGGUUGGAAAGUUUCGGCGGUUGGGGAUGGACUCGCGGCUUAUCAGCUUGUUGGUGGGGUAGUGGCUUACCAAGUCAUUGACGGGUAGCCGGCCUGAGAGGGUGACCGGCCACAUUGGGACUGAGAUACGGCCCAGACUCCUACGGGAGGCAGCAGUGGGGAAUAUUGCACAAUGGGCGGAAGCCUGAUGCAGCAACGCCGCGUGCGGGAUGACGGCCUUCGGGUUGUAAACCGCUUUCGCCUGUGACGAAGCGUGAGUGACGGUAAUGGGUAAAGAAGCACCGGCUAACUACGUG